AGUGAACGCUGGCGGCAGGCCUAACACAUGCAAGUCGAGCGGCAGCGGGUCCCCGCGAGGGGAUGCCGGCGAGCGGCGGACGGGUGAGGAACACAUCGGAAUCUGCCUGGUUGUGGGGGAUAACGUAGGGAAACUUACGCUAAUACCGCAUGAGACCCUGAGUCGACGGACUGGGGGUGAAAGUGAGGGACCUUCGGGCCUCACGCGACCAGAUGAGCCGAUGUCGGAUUAGCUAGUUGGCGGGGUAACGGCCCGCCAAGGCGACGAUCCGUAGCUGGUCUGAGAGGAUGAUCAGCCACACUGGGACUGAGACACGGCCCAGACUCCUACGGGAGGCAGCAGUGGGGAAUCUUGGACAAUGGGCGCAAGCCUGAUCCAGCCAUGCCGCGUGGGUGAAGAAGG
Molecule: ribosomal RNA, 402 nt
Filed under: uncultured bacterium
Lineage: Bacteria
Description: bacterial SSU rRNA
Rfam family: Bacterial small subunit ribosomal RNA
Source: RNAcentral